GAUAACCAGUCGAAAGAUUGGCUAAUACCGGAUAAGCCCACGGUCUCUUCGGAGACUGAGGGANAAGGUGGCCUCUGUAUACAAGCUAUCACAACCAGAUGAGUCCGCGGCCCAUCAGCUAUUUGGCGGGGUAAUGGCCCACCAAGGCAACGACGGGUAGCUGGUCUGAGAGGACGAUCAGCCACACUGGAACUGAGACACGGUCCAGACUCCUACGGGAGGCAGCAGUGGGGAAUUUUGCGCAAUGGGCGAAAGCCUGACGCAGCAACGCCGCGUGUGUGAUGAAGGUCUUUGGAUUGUAAAGCACUUUCGACCGGGACGAAACCGUAAAGCCUAAUACGCUUUGCCUUGACGGUACCGGGAGAANAAGCACCGGCUAACUCUGUGCCAGCAGCCGCGGUAAUACAGAGGGUGCAAGCGUUGUUCGGAAUUAUUGGGCGUAAAGCGCGUGUAGGCGGCUUUGCAAGUCGGGUGUGAAAGCCCUCAGCUCAACUGAGGAAGUGCGCCCGAAACUGCAGAGCUUGAGUGCCGGAGAGGGUGGCGGAAUUCCCCAAGUAGAGGUGAAAUUCUUAGAUAUGGGGAGGAACACCGGUGGCGAAGGCGGCCACCUGGACGGUAACUGACGCUGAGACGCGAAAGCGUGGGUAGCAAACAGGAUAAAUACCUGGGUGUCCACGCCGUAANCGAUGAAAACUAAGUGUCCGGGGAGUUGAACCCCG
RNAcentral lists this ribosomal RNA (719 nucleotides) under Corallococcus exiguus. RNAcentral's name for it is "bacterial SSU rRNA". It matches the Rfam family "Bacterial small subunit ribosomal RNA", at positions 142 to 841 of the family's 1533-position model. The record is from RNAcentral. Lineage: Bacteria; Pseudomonadati; Myxococcota; Myxococcia; Myxococcales; Myxococcaceae.